AUGAUACUGAACCGGCAAUACCACAACCUCAAACAGGGGGAUCUCUCCGUCGCCGAGUACGCCCGUCGUAUGAAGCUUCUCACCGCCGGCCUCGCCGUCACCGAGGUGGGAUCUCACCACUCAGUUUCUUCAUGGCAUCGACAAACGUCUCGACACCAUCCGCGUCGUGCUCGGGGACACAGUUCCUCUGCCGCCGUUCGAGACGGUGUUCUCUCGCCUGAAGCUCACCGAGGAGAACCUUGCCCAGCGCGUGGCUGA
Molecule: ribosomal RNA, 258 nt
Filed under: Triticum aestivum (bread wheat)
Lineage: Eukaryota; Viridiplantae; Streptophyta; Magnoliopsida; Poales; Poaceae
Description: partial small subunit ribosomal RNA
Source: RNAcentral